This is a long non-coding RNA of Cyanistes caeruleus (blue tit), 2348 nucleotides long. RefSeq lists it as uncharacterized. The record is from RefSeq and is a predicted model, not a curated record. NCBI's taxonomy places the organism in Eukaryota, Metazoa, Chordata, Aves, Passeriformes, Paridae.
UGCAACUGUAAUUACAAUUUUAUGCAAUAUUAAACUUGAACCACACUACAGGGUAGCUACUGUCUCAAGAUUCAUUACGAGGUGGAAUUCAAAUUCAGGCUUACACAUUCUAUUAACUGCUGCAGUACCAAAAUACUACCAAGGAGGAAGAAACACCACAAAGAACAAAACGGUCUAAGUUGUCCUGUCUCACUUCACUUUUUGAAGUCACAAGCUUGCUCCUCCACAUAAAUACAACUGAGCUGAAAAAAAAUAAAACCAGAGCUCCCAGUAACAAAACUCCAUAGAUGUUACAUAAUAAAAAUAUUUGUUCAGAGCGUGAAUUAAAUCGUUGUGAACCAUUGUGCAAUGUGAAAGGGAAAAGGGGAGGGCUGUCAUUUCAAGGUUUGCACUUCACUCAGGAAGACAAUACAGCACCUAGGUAGCUGUUUCCUACCACAUCUUGAAACACUGUAUUUAAAUACAGUGGUUACAGCAUCUCUGAAGAACAUGCCCAGAGCUGUUUGUCUUUAAACUAUUUAAAACUGUUGAGGAGGUCUGCGGAAAGGAAAACAAAACCAGAAAGACAACAGAAACAAAGAAGAACAAAAAAAAAGAAUCAAUCCUUAUUCCAGAAACACCUUUAUCUCAUCACUUAGCAUUUCCUCUUGUACCUAGGUUUAGCUUCUGUCCAUAGGUCAGAGAGCUGAGUCACUUCCCUGCCAGCCCCACAGCAACUUGUGAGCUAAUUUUCAGUGUGACACCCUGUUUCCUAUUGAAGAUUCUCCAGAACACAUAACUACUGCAAGGAAACAGCAGACUCUGAAGGAUAGCUGCUACUGUACAAGAAGCUCACAGACAUCAGCUGACUCUCUGCAGUCCAUGCAGGAGCUUCAGAGACCUGUGGGAAACGCCAUUUUUAGAUGGACUGAGUGAAAGGGUUGGUCCUGCACCACUCAGAAGAGUCAGACUACCUCGAACUACCAACUAGCUCUCCUUUGGAAAGCAAAGGAUUUUACACAUGGAAGGCACAUGCCCUGUCCCUCAUUCUCAUCAUUGUGUAAAAAGGGUAGAGAUGAAAAGCCUGACAUGUUUUGUUUCAGGACUUUUUUUCUGAAGAAUCCUAAUGUACACAUUUCUCAGAUGUCAGCUGUUGAAGCUAAACCAAGCCAGUUGAACAAGUCUUAAAAGCUCUUGCUGCAAUUUUAAAUAUCAUAGUUCUGUACAUCAAAACAGAAGGGACACGGUAGCAGCCAGUGAGAAUAGAAUAGCCACUGGGACGGGACUGGCUUUCCACAUUAAAAUUCACUUUUUGGAUAUUUAAUUCAGUUACAAGCUGCAGACCAUCUCCUGAGACAACAUCUCUGGAAUUUAAUUCUCCAAGAUCUCCUGUGCUUCUCCAUUGGCAGAGCAGUGGAAAGCUUAAGCAUCAAAGCCACCUCCUGAGCUCUGGUAUGAGAUCAGUAGAGGGACACUAAGAUCUCUGAUAAAACAGUUCUUUCAAAACAGGUCAGAUGCAAUACUCUGAUGUCUUUGACUACUUCAAUACAAGAAGUUUACACUGUGGCUUUAAGUUCCCCAGUAAUUCCAUCCUGAAACAGCCCCCACCAAUGCAGUAAUUUCAUUAUUUCCAUGAAGCCUCGGUUUAGGAGUCUCUUGGGAGGAGGAGGAACAGUGCGCCCAACAGCAGCGAGGAGCUACAAGCAGAACGCCUUUCAGCAAGUGCCAGGGGUGUUCCAUUUACCGGGGCCAUAAGGAGUUCACGUCACAGGGCAUUUGCCAGCAGUUUCAUGAUCACUGGCAUGCACAGCAAGGGUGCGUCUCACCAUUGAAGCAACAAGCUGUUAAAGUGUGUGACUCAUCUCACAGCAACGUUUUCUGCCUUCCGAGAGGAGAGCAGCCUGCAAUGAGCAACGCUGAUAAGAUGCAUAUUCAGAGGAAUUCUAUUUGGGCAAAAAGCUAUUGACACAUUCAAACCCCUAUAUACAGAAGCCUGCCCAAAUGCUGACUGAAACACAUGAACACACACAUUGCAAUAUUGCAGUAUUGUGAGCACUCCAGAGGAACAGUUUCCAGUCAAAAGCACGGUCCUGUCUGUCACCACUUUCUGCUACCAUGGCACAUCAGAAGACAACAGUUCUGCUGUAAGGAUUGAAGAUUGCAGUCUUAUUUCUCAAGAGUGACUGCAUAACCAAAGGCCAAAAGAAACAGCCAAAGUCUGGACAGACAAUUAAAGGAAUUUUACAAGUCGUCAAGCAAUCAGAGGGCUGUAAAUGUAUAAUCAACACUUUGCAUAAACUACCCUGAAAUGAAUGCUCAUGAGAUGCUCACUGUGGCAGUGAGAACAAGAUAAAAACCUAUAAAUAAAA